GUCCUAUACAGAUGUAUUCAACGCAAGAUAGUUGAGCAUCUCCCUGUAGGACGAAGUUUAUUAGAAGCUCUGACAACAAUUCUUAUUGUGUGGCUGUGGCUACGGUCGAAAUGAGAUGAGUUAGAGUGGAAUAGGUUAACCGUAAGACCUUGGGUUGAAAAAUUCUAAAAUGGAGCUAGAGAUAUGGAUUUAUUAAAUUUUGCAUUUUCUGGUUACGGUCGG
RNAcentral lists this non-coding RNA (222 nucleotides) under unclassified sequences. RNAcentral describes it as "IS605-orfB-I RNA". It matches the Rfam family "IS605-orfB-I RNA". The record is from Rfam by way of RNAcentral.